AUUGAACGCUGGCGGAAUGCUUUACACAUGCAAGUCGAACGGCAGCACGGGGCAACCUGGUGGCGAGUGGCGAACGGGUGAGUAAUACAUCGGAACGUGCCCAAUCGUGGGGAUAACGUAGCGAAAGUUACGCUAAUACCGCAUACGAUCUACGGAUGAAAGCGGGGGAUCGCAAGACCUCGCGCGAAUGGAGCGGCCGAUGUCAGAUUAGGUAGUUGGUGGGGUAAAGGCUCACCAAGCCAACGAUCUGUAGCUGGUCUGAGAGGACGACCAGCCACACUGGAACUGAGACACGGUCCAGACUCCUACGGGAGGCAGCAGUGGGGAAUUUUGGACAAUGGGCGCAAGCCUGAUCCAGCCAUUCCGCGUGCAGGAUGAAGGCCUUCGGGUUGUAAACUGCUUUGUUACGGUAACAAAAGGUACCUGGUUAAUACCUGGGCGUCAUGACGGUACCGUAAGAAUAAGACACCGCGUAACUACGUAGCCAGC
This 489-nucleotide ribosomal RNA is filed under the name uncultured bacterium. RNAcentral describes it as "bacterial SSU rRNA". It matches the Rfam family "Bacterial small subunit ribosomal RNA", at positions 30 to 512 of the family's 1533-position model. The record is from RNAcentral.